RNAcentral lists this unclassified non-coding RNA (322 nucleotides) under soil metagenome. Its description in RNAcentral is "partial contains 5.8S ribosomal RNA, internal transcribed spacer 2, and large subunit ribosomal RNA". The stretch from base 1 to 120 matches the Rfam family "5.8S ribosomal RNA", at positions 35 to 154 of the family's 154-position model. The record is from RNAcentral.
GAUGAAGAACGUAGCGAAAUGCGAUAAGUAAUGUGAAUUGCAGAAUUCAGUGAAUCAUCGAAUCUUUGAACGCACAUUGCGCCCUUUGGCAUUCCGAAGGGCACACCUGUCCGAGCGCCGUCGCACAACUGAGGCGCAGCCUUGCGUUGGCGGGCGACUUGUGAGUAGCGAGUCGCCGCCCAAACGAGACGGCGCCGCGCCGCGGCCGACGAAGCACGAAAGCGGAAGUCGACGCGGAGGCGGUUGCCUGUAGGAUGACACAGCUUGGCCUCGGAUCAGGUGGGGAUACCCGCUGAACUUAAGCAUAUCAAUAAGCGGAGGA